RNAcentral lists this ribosomal RNA (115 nucleotides) under Pseudomonas sp. WS 5013. RNAcentral also lists the same sequence under 2 other names. Lineage: Bacteria; Pseudomonadati; Pseudomonadota; Gammaproteobacteria; Pseudomonadales; Pseudomonadaceae. The record is from RNAcentral.
UUGACGACCAUAGAGCGUUGGAACCACCUGAUCCCAUCCCGAACUCAGUAGUGAAACGACGCAUCGCCGAUGGUAGUGUGGGGCUUCCCCAUGUGAGAGUAGGUCAUCGUCAAGC